GUUGGCAGACGCAUCCGUGUGCAUCCCAACUCCAUAGGGACAGAAGCUCCUGUGCUCAGGAGCCUUCCAGGCCUCUGUGUGUUUCUUCAUCUGGCUGUUCGUCUGUAUCCUUUAUCAUACUUUUUACUCACGCAAUAAACUGGGGAACGUGUCUCCCUGAGCUUUGUAAGCAGUCCUCACAAAUUAAUCAAAACCAAGGAGGGGGUUGUGGAGAUCCUGAUUCAUAGCUGGUCAGUCAGAAGUAGGGGUGACAGUCUACUACUUGUGACUGGCAUUUGAAGUGGGUGGCAGUCUUGUGGAACUUAACCUGUGGGAUCUGACUCUAACUCUAGGUAGACGGUAUCAGAAGUGAGUUGAAUUAGAGGAUGCCAGUUGGUAUCCACUGGAGAAUUGCUUGGUGUGUGAGGAAAAUGCCCACAUAUCUGGUUGACUUGGGGUGAAGCCUUUAUUGUUUGUUUUUUCCUAUACUGUAAACAGGAACCAUAUAUGGAGGGCACAUGAUGAGUAAUUUUCACCAGCAUCUGUUUUUCAAACUAGGAAUUCCACCUUGAAUGAUGAAAGUGUCUUCAGAACUGUCAUCAAAUAAUUACUCAUCCACCCAGCUGUGGAAGACUGGGCACUGCCAUUUGCCAAGUGCAGGAAAAGCUCUGAGAAACAGGAUAACUGAGGGCAACCCCUGACACGAUAAAGUCUGGCAGAGAAGAGAGAAAAGAAAAAUGCCAGCCAAAUACAUAAACUAAGUACAUUUCACCGUGAUGUGCUUCUGCAUGGAGUAAACAGUAAAAUGCAACAAUUACACCAGACCCAGCCUCUCCUUUUUUGGAGGGAGGCGAUGGUUUUGAAAUAGUAAUCAAUCUUUAAAACUGGUAUACAGAGCAUGUGCUAAUGUGUGACAUGUAUGGCUGACGAAGAGACUGAAACAGAUUUUCCUUUGCCUUCUUCUCUGUAACACUGAAUAUGAUGUACAUAAGAUAAUCCUAUAGAAAAUGCACAGCAAAAAAAUGUUUUGCUAAAAAAAAAAUAAAUAAAUAAAUAAAAAUAAAAAAGCUUUUGCCCUGACAUGGAAUUUAAGAAAACACAUGCAUUUAUAUGGAACUGAAGCCCUUUGAAGCACUAUUUUUUCUUCUCUUUUCCCACAUAUCAAUAUCUGGUCUCAGUAAUCCCUAUGUUCUUCCCAACGUUUGUACAUAAGUAACUCAUUUUAGACCAGCAGGAGACAAGGGUGGGGAAAGAGGGUCCAGGUUGUGGACUGGUGCAGAAGGUGACAGGAAGGAAGAGCGACUCACGUGGAAUACGGUAGGCUCUCCCGCCCCUAUGGACCCAGAAGCAACAAGGGAACCACCAGGGUGGAUCCCAGAUCCAUGGAUGGGGUUUCCUCAUAAGAGAUUCCUGUGGGGCAGAAAACCCUGGGGACCCUCUCUCUCCUGCCCCCAUGCUCAGCUUCCUAUCAGAUGGAGAACUUCUUUCAUUAGAAAGCUCCACCAACAGCCCCGGAACCAUCCCACUUUCUCAGUUUUGAGCCCAGCCCUCAGCCAUCCUUUGGAAUUAAGGGUACUUUGGGUGGGGGCAAAGCAGGCUAAAGAUACUGUUCUUCAUGGUAGAAAACCUCAAUAUGCCACAUUGCCAUGAUUAAAGGGACAUUUCAAACAAGUACUGAGAGUGCUCUCCCGACCAGACGAGUCCCCACAGAACUAAGCAUUGCACCGUUCAAGGGCUUACGCAUGAAUGCCAGGGUGCCCUUCAGGUGGACAAAGUGUCACCUCCUGAGAGGUCUGACAACAUGACAAGUCUUGAUGGCACCUCGAGGGGCUGGGCCACCCUGUCACAUGAACCAUCAGGACAAAGGGCAGCCUACUGCACAUUUCACAAAUGCUCUGCAAGGGCAUUCCGGGAACAGGGAGCAGGAAGCUGAUGGCAGCUGAUUCUCUACAGAGCCACUGGAUUCUCUUUUUUUUUUCUUUUUUCAAAAUUUCCCUUUGAACAUAGGAUUCUCUUUUUGAUGUCACCUGUUCAGUCAGGUCACCGGUUACCUUAACAACUGCUUUGCCAUGUAUUAGUUUUACGUUUGCUCCCUUUGGGGUGGGGAUGUAUUAUCAGAAUCACCUGAGUGGCUUGAGGGACAGGGGCUAUGUUUAAGAAAGCUUCCCAGGUGUGUUGUAAGAAGCCCCAAGGAAUGAAUCGCUGGUCCCAUUCUUGAGCCUGGUUGCUAAUGGAACCCACUGGGAGCACUUUUCAAAAAAGGAUGCCACUUGAAAUUCAUUUAUGUGCUGGGCGCGGUGGCUCACGCCUGUAAAUUUUAUAGUAUCUCAAUUUUUUAAAAAUGGAAAUAAUGUUUAAGGUAAAUCUAGUUGACCCCAUACUCCAAGGCCUCCCCCAUGCUGGGGACAGGCACCCGUCCACAGGACAGAGCUCUAAGUGGCAGAAAGAACAAGUCUCCUGCAGUGACUAUGUGGUCUCCUGGCCGAGCUCCGGGCCGCCUGGAAACACCAUACCCAAGCUGGUAGAUGCCCUCUUUCCUGGAGCAC
This 2525-nucleotide long non-coding RNA is filed under the name Homo sapiens (human). RNAcentral's name for it is "HSALNT0406952". The record is from RNAcentral. Lineage: Eukaryota; Metazoa; Chordata; Mammalia; Primates; Hominidae.